AACGAACGCUGGCGGCAUGCCUAACACAUGCAAGUCGAACGAGACCUUCGGGUCUAGUGGCGCACGGGUGCGUAACGCGUUGGAACCUGCUCUUAGGUUCGGAAUAACUCCCCGAAAGGGGUGCUAAUACCGGAUAAUGUCUUCGCACCACAGAUUUGUCGCCUUUGGAUGGGCCCGCGUUGGAUUAGCUAGUUGGUAGGGUAAAAGCCUACCAAGGCGACGAUCCAUAGCUGGUCUGAGAGGAUGAGCAGCCACACUGGGACUGAGACACGGCCCAGAAUCCUACGGGAGGCAGCAGAGGGGAAUAGUGGACAAUGGGGGAAAGGCUGAUGCAGCAAUGCCGGGUGAGUGAUGAAGGCAUUAGGGUUGUAAAGCUCUUUUACCCGGGAUGAUAAUGACAGUACCGGGAGAAUAAGCUCCGGCUAACUCCGUG
RNAcentral lists this ribosomal RNA (433 nucleotides) under uncultured bacterium. RNAcentral describes it as "partial 16S ribosomal RNA". It matches the Rfam family "Bacterial small subunit ribosomal RNA", at positions 29 to 507 of the family's 1533-position model. The record is from RNAcentral.